Molecule: ribosomal RNA, 242 nt
Filed under: uncultured bacterium
Lineage: Bacteria
Description: partial 16S ribosomal RNA
Rfam family: Bacterial small subunit ribosomal RNA
Source: RNAcentral
AUCAGUGGCGAACGGGUGAGUAACACGUGAGCAACCUGCCCUGGACUCUGGGAUAAGCGCUGGAAACGGUGUCUAAUACUGGAUAUGAGCUCCUUCCGCAUGGUGGGGGUUGGAAAGAUUUUUCGGUCUGGGAUGGGCUCGCGGCCUAUCAGCUUGUUGGUGAGGUAAUGGCUCACCAAGGCGUCGACGGGUAGCCGGCCUGAGAGGGUGACCGGCCACACUGGGACUGAGACACGGCCCAG